This is a long non-coding RNA of Anguilla anguilla (European eel), 1444 nucleotides long. RefSeq lists it as uncharacterized. NCBI's taxonomy places the organism in Eukaryota, Metazoa, Chordata, Actinopteri, Anguilliformes, Anguillidae. The transcript has 5 exons. The record is from RefSeq and is a predicted model, not a curated record.
CUGGUUUUGUUCUUCAGGAAAUGGAUUCUGCUAGUGAAAGCACCAGGAAAAGCACUGCGUUACUUCCUAUAGAAACACCCAAAAUGCACGUGGACAUUGGCCCGUUCCUGGAUAUCUGUCUUGCAUCAAACCGCCCAUCGACAGGAGAGGCUUCUUUCAAUAAAAUAAAUGAGAUGAAGGACAGUGUCUCCUCACUGAAGUUCAUCACCAGCAUACUCCUUCAAGCUGAGCUGCACAUUCAAGCAUAUUCAGAAACGAUCAUCAACAUUUUGCCACAGAAAUGUCAGCCAGGCUCUGUGUUCCAUCAGACAGCAAGGAUGGUCAUGUCCAUGACACCGGCUUUGAAUGUGCUCAUGAUUUUGGUCUUCUGAUGAAUUUUAUCCACAUGUAAAGUAUUUGCAUCAGGAGGGCUUGUAUUUGUCAUAAUCCAUGUGUUUGUCCAUUUUUGAUUAGAGACACUAAAGAAAAAAUUAGAAGAAUCAGAAGAAUGCUUUCUUCCUCCCAUCGUAAUAACUGGAACCUGAAGGCAAGUGUCAGAGAGCUGCAAAAAAGCUGCAUGAAAAUGUGUGAAGAGAGAGAUGCACUUGACUUGAUGCUGGAGGAGAGAGAGAACAGAAUAAAAAGUGCCGAUCUGGAGCAGGAGGAAUUUAAGAAGACAUUUCAAGAGAAAGAGAUGGCUCUACAGCAGAGAGUACCAAGCAAGACUGUGUUAAGGGAGACCAAAUAUGACAUCUAAAUAAGGUAACCAUGGCAAUGGGAGAGUGAGGCUUCAUGAACUCCAUUAUAGGUGGGACUACCGUGUGCUGUUAGUCAUUGACAUUGAUAUGAACCAAUCUAUCAAGUUUGGUCUCCAUAGCAGACCACUUUGACUGGAUCAAUUGUAUCAACUGUUAAUAACUCAUAAUAACUCCACCCAUUUCGGGGCCUGUGUCUUAUUCCAAGUAGCAGUCAUUGGAGAGAAAAGGGAAUAAUAUUGAUGCUAAUUUUAGAAGUAACUGAAUCUGAGUUAACAAUGGACAGACACUUAACAGAAAGCUUAAAUUGUAUUUGAAUGAUGAAGCUUUUGAUUAUUUUUUAACGUGCUGGAAUCCUGUACAGGAUAGAUGAGUGUCACAUGGUGCACACCUCCAUGUGCUGUGAACCGGUUUAUAAAAAGCACCCAAGUUACUGCUGGCUCCAGCACAGUGUAAGACUGAAGCUGGUGUGCUUCGUGCUGCAGGAAGCUGGGGCAGCUUGAGCAGCACUGGAGAGAAAAGCUGAAAAGAGUGAUGGAGGAGAGGAGCGAGCACGAGCAGUGUGUGAAGAAGGAGAUCCAGGCUCUGCUCCUUAAGCUGUUCAAGACUGAGCAGCUGCACCAGACCCAGAUAUGUGACUAUGAGGUCAAGUACAGGGACUCACUAAAACUAGUGUCUGAGCUGCAUUGUCAAAUCGAGGAGCGUGAGGU